UUUUUACUCCCAUCGUCCGAAAAUUCUUGUCUUAAAUUUGUCUAAAUAUAGAUGUAUCUAGUUACAUUUUAGUGUUAGAUACAUCCAUAUCAAAACAAAUGUAAGACAAGAAUUUUGGGAAGGAGGGAAUACAAC
Molecule: non-coding RNA, 135 nt
Organism: Triticum aestivum (bread wheat)
Lineage: Eukaryota; Viridiplantae; Streptophyta; Magnoliopsida; Poales; Poaceae
Source: Rfam